AUACAUGCAAGUCGAGCGGACAGAUGGGAGCUUGCUCCCUGAUGUUAGCGGCGGACGGGUGAGUAACACGUGGGUAACCUGCCUGUAAGACUGGGAUAACUCCGGGAAACCGGGGCUAAUACCGGAUGCUUGUUUGAACCGCAUGGUUCAAACAUAAAAGGUGGCUUCGGCUACCACUUACAGAUGGACCCGCGGCGCAUUAGCUAGUUGGUGAGGUAAUGGCUCACCAAGGCAACGAUGCGUAGCCGACCUGAGAGGGUGAUCGGCCACACUGGGACUGAGACACGGCCCAGACUCCUACGGGAGGCAGCAGUAGGGAAUCUUCCGCAAUGGACGAAAGUCUGACGGAGCAACGCCGCGUGAGUGAUGAAGGUUUUCGGAUCGUAAAGCUCUGUUGUUAGGGAAGAACAAGUACCGUUCGAAUAGGGCGGUACCUUGACGGUACCUAACCAGAAAGCCACGGCUAACUACGUGCCAGCAGCCGCGGUAAUACGUAUGUGGCAAGCGUUGUCCGGAAUUAUUGGGCGUAAAGGGCUCGCAGGCGGUUUCUUAAGUCUGAUGUGAAAGCCCCCGGCUCACCCGGGGAGGGUCAUUGGGAACUGGGGAACUUGAGUGCAGAAGAGGAGAGU
This 629-nucleotide ribosomal RNA is filed under the name Bacillus sp. (in: firmicutes). Its description in RNAcentral is "bacterial SSU rRNA". It matches the Rfam family "Bacterial small subunit ribosomal RNA", at positions 51 to 662 of the family's 1533-position model. The record is from RNAcentral. Lineage: Bacteria; Bacillati; Bacillota; Bacilli; Caryophanales; Bacillaceae.